Molecule: long non-coding RNA, 232 nt
Filed under: Vitis vinifera (wine grape)
Lineage: Eukaryota; Viridiplantae; Streptophyta; Magnoliopsida; Vitales; Vitaceae
Description: long non-coding RNA (VVIN_LNC003944)
Source: RNAcentral
AAGAAGAAGCAGCAGCAGAACAAGCCUUCAUCAUCGAAAUCGAAAUCGAAAUCCCAGACAUCCGCCGGUCCGAAGCUCCAGAUUUCCGCUGAGAACGAGAACCGCCUCCGCCGCCUCCUCCUCAACUCCGGCCGUUCCGGACCGGCCUCUUCUCCGGCUCCGGCUGACGACACUCUCUCCAAGGCGCAGAAGGCGAAGAAGCUUCGCUCUGUAUACGAGAAGCUCUCUUGCG